This 558-nucleotide ribosomal RNA is filed under the name Salmonella enterica subsp. enterica serovar Heidelberg. Its description in RNAcentral is "bacterial LSU rRNA". It matches the Rfam family "Bacterial large subunit ribosomal RNA", at positions 964 to 1525 of the family's 2925-position model. Lineage: Bacteria; Pseudomonadati; Pseudomonadota; Gammaproteobacteria; Enterobacterales; Enterobacteriaceae. The record is from RNAcentral.
CGGAGAAUGUUAUCACGGGAGACACACGGCGGGUGCUAACGUCCGUCGUGAAGAGGGAAACAACCCAGACCGCCAGCUAAGGUCCCAAAGUCAUGGUUAAGUGGGAAACGAUGUGGGAAGGCCCAGACAGCCAGGAUGUUGGCUUAGAAGCAGCCAUCAUUUAAAGAAAGCGUAAUAGCUCACUGGUCGAGUCGGCCUGCGCGGAAGAUGUAACGGGGCUAAACCAUGCACCGAAGCUGCGGCAGCGACGCUKAUGCGUUGUUGGGUAGGGGAGCGUUCUGUAAGCCUGCGAAGGUGRCCUGUGAGGGUUGCUGGAGGUAUCAGAAGUGCGAAUGCUGACAUAAGUAACGAUAAAGCGGGUGAAAAGCCCGCUCGCCGGAAGACCAAGGGUUCCUGUCCAACGUUAAUCGGGGCAGGGUGAGUCGACCCCUAAGGCGAGGCCGAAAGGCGUAGUCGAUGGGAAACGGGUUAAUAUUCCCGUACUUGGUGUUACUGCGAAGGGGGGACGGAGAAGGCUAUGUUGGCCGGGCGACGGUUGUCCCGGUUUAAGCGUGUAGG